AGGGGAAAGGCGGGACGGGGGCUCCGGCCCCCCGGUACCACCGGCCCACCCCCCCCCCCCCGCCGGCCCCGCCGCCCCCCGGGGCCGCUGCCGCCACUCCCCCCGGACCCGCCGAUCCUGCCGAUCCCCCCCGGCACAGGGGACCUUCCCUGCGCCUCCGGGAGCCUGCCGAGACCGUGAGCUGGGCCCUCCGGAGCUUGCCUCAGAGUGCGCUGGGCAUGAUAAGUAUCAGGAUUCAGCCUCAGCCCCAUCCUCUAAAUACAUAAAACAUCUGUGUCACAAGAUUUCCGCCUUUUUUUUUUUUUUUUUUCGCUCAUAAACCAUGGAUUACACUUGUAACUCUUAUGAGAUACGAGCUAAAAAGCUUUACCAGCACAGCUGUGAAGCAUGCAGUCAGUCAUAGCUUUCAUUGAGCCCAUUAAGACUGCAAAAAAUCCCGGUAGAGGGAUCAGUACACUCAAAAGACUGUAUGUGGGGAAAUCCUAUAGGUUACCCUGUUCUUCAAACUGCCACCUACAGAGAAGGUUUGGUGACAGGGCUGUAGCUGAAGGUCAGACACUUUUAUGUAUAAGCAAUAGCUCAGUGGCUCCGUCUGAUGAUGGUUGGGAUUAAAUAUGUUUAUUGUCACAUAUAUUGGUAGCUAUAGGUGCAUCACACUGCUUACAAAAGCCCCUUUCUACAGAAAAGCUAAUUUUUUUUUUUUUUUUGCUAGGCUAAUGCUUUGUUCUUAUUUUAAAGAAAAAAUCUUUGACAGUCAAACUAGUGGAAGGUUGUAGAAGACAUCUUGUUACCUCUGGAAAUGUAUCAAAGUAAUUUCAGGCCACUGUGACCCCAUCAGUAGAUGUUCUUUAUGCUUAACCUAGAGAGAAGUGCACUUUCAUUUUUUUAAUAAAAAGAGUGAAAUAUUUUAAAUCUAAUGGCAGUCUGGCAACAAAGUGAACAUCUGCAGAACACACAGUCGUUCUGUUUGUGAUGAAAGGCCUCAAUAAUUCCUUUGUGGCUUCACUUGCUGUGAAUUAUGAGGCCUUGUCUUUACAUAUACGAUGGCUUCCAUGUUUCACAAAUUCAUCUGGCUCUGAAAAUUGCUCUUUAUAUACUCCAUAUAAGGUCUUACAUUUUUCACAGCUCUCCUCUGGCAGGACUUGGAUAGCGUCAGAUGGGAGAAACAUGAUGGAGGCGUUGCUGUAGUAAAUAUUUCUUAUGAAACAUGAAUCAGCUACUUUAAGUCUGUAUACUGUGAUGCUGUGUCAUUCCAUUUUGCCCCAAAAGUUCAGAAAUCUUUUGAAGAUUCACCUUUAUCUUGAGAACUAAGGAACUCCACGUGGCAGUCACACUUCCUAAGUGCUGGUGUUAAGGAUUAUAUUAAAAGAAAAAGCCUGUUAAGCUUGAACAUGGUUGUUUAUUGCAAUUACAUCUGUGACUCCACUAGAAGACUUUUGUAAAGGUUUCCUAAGUUAUUCAGCAAGGUAUUUUAUAGGAUUAGUUUCAUAAUAGAGCUUAAGCUGUGCCCAGACCUAGGCCUUAGCCUCCCUUCACCUCUGGCGGAAUUACCCCAAAUUUGAGCACUCUGUGCAGAGCUGAAGGACACCAGGACAAACUCCCACUGCCUUUCCUGAGCGUGGCACCGUGCUGUCUGCUAAAUACUGACACAAACUAGACAGCCACGAAAUCAUGCAGGGUUGCCACAGAUCCACACUAUUUUUCAAAAGGUAUUAGCACUGAGAGUGCCCUAUCCACAUCUGUAGAUAUUUUACUCUCUUCUCCUCAGGUAGUUCCCUCAUGACUCAUCUACACUUUUUUUUCAUAUUUGCUAUACAGCAAUGUAUAACUUUGCAAUUUUCCAGUCAAAUAUGUUAGUGCUAGAACAAAAUUGGAAGCCUAGCUCUUAGUCUAAAUAGCAUUUUUAAAGCAAUUUUAUUCUGCAAAGUUCUUUAUAAUCUUCCUGGAUGCUUUUUUACAUUGCUACUUGAAUUAAUUAUUACUGCAGAUCAAUAUCUCGUAACUGUACAUAAGAAUUAUGGCAGAAAUGAUAUAUACCCCUACAGUCAUAUACAUGCUUACUACACGUACUUUGCUUUCUCUUACAGCGUAAAGUAUCCUCGUAUGCCUGCACACAUACAGGCCCAUCACCCAAGGAGCCAAGGUUCAUAUUCUCAAAGUGUAUAUUGACUUAAAGAUUUAUUUACUUGGCUAGUGGGAUUUACAGAGCUCCAGAGUUGGCUAGAUACUGAGCUUCUGUUGAAAGUCGCUAGAUUUCUGACCCAAGUUCUGCAGUGUGACAUUUAGCCCCACUUAGCUUAUGUUGCCUUAAGUCCACUGCAGUUAAUAGACACUCAGGACUACAGAGGUUCUUUUGUAUGAAACAACAAGCAUGUGUAAGGAAGUCUUAUCCAGGUGGGUAGCGCUCAGAAGUCACGUAACUGCUUGGUUGCUUAAUAAUGCGUUUCAUUAAAUAUGCUUUAUGCUGCCAGUUCGAGUGGCCAGCUGAGGAGUCACUUCACCAAGAGCUGGAAGGUGCUGGGCAAUAGUGGCAAACAGCGUGGUGUAAUGAGACAGGAUGCAAUCUCUUGGUGUUUGGACCUUCAGUCAAUAACAGACUGGAAUAAACUCCAAGGGCAGGAGUCCAGUUGCUCCAGGGGAAUUUUCAGAUGGUUCUUGAGUAGGAAUCAUCAAGAUGCAAAGAGGUGAUGUCAAGGAGAUGAGGCUGCUUGGGUGGGAAGCUACAGGACAAGAAUUUGAAGACACGGCAGAAAUGGACUGUCCACACCAGCAGGCUGGGAUCACGCGGGGACCUCCGCGCGGGAAGGACUGCGGCCUGCGCUGGGCUCUCCCCUGUCCACAUUAGCAAAACCUAUUUCGUUCCUGAGGAAUACGAUUCUUGGUGAAAUGCCCUACAGCAGGAAAGGUUGGAAUAACAACUUACAGAGCUGUAACUCACUCCUGGAAUCAGAGACAGGAGGAAACACAACCUGCACAUUCUUGCACCAUCUGCUGGUAGCAUCUCCAGACGUACCUAGAACAGAUUUUCUAAUUCCUCUCAAACCUGGAGGCAUACGUCCACAGUUAGAGAGAUGAGACCACUGUUACAACGAUUCAAGAUUCAGCUAGUUUUGGGGUCUGUAAAUGGAUGUCUGAAUUCCAGCUAUGGCCGCAGCAGUGCUGACUGCUCUAUAAGCACUAUCAUUACUUGUUUGUGCUUGCAAAGACGUGGCAAUUUCUUGUAGGCAACGCAACUGUAGCAAAUUGAUUUGGCAAGCAACCUCACAUGGUUUGAUGUGAACAUUGCAAGAGUGAGCCAUGUGUCAUAAGAAAAUGAAGCAUUUUCCGUACUUAUUUGAGGAUCACUGCAUGUGCACAGCCCAGGACAGGACGGGGCUGGCAGCUUUUGAAUGAGCACGAGGUUGGUUCCUGGAGGCUGUAUCUUCUCCUCCCGGACACAGCGGUCACAUCUACCCUCCACAUUUUUUCCUGCCUGCAUCCAGAUGGCUGGGGUGCAUAGGGAAGCACAGACACUUGGUUUGGUGUGUAAAAGGGGGUGUGCAGUUAGGGAAUCCUCUCAGGUGUUUUUAACGAGUGUGAGAAUCAUAGCAUGCUCCAUAAAAUCUUCCCAAACUGAGCUACUUCGUUAGGUUCAUGCUAUUCCUGUAGCACCCGGAUACUUGCAGAAGCAUUUUGCCCCGUUCAUGCUACCGACCAAAAAGUGACCGUGGAAGGCCGGAGCCAUGCCAGCCACGUGCGGGUGGAUGGGGCAGGAUUUGAGCAUUCACAGACCAUACAAGGCAGCUCCUGUGAGCACAGCAAAGGGGGAGCAGUUUGCAGAGAGUCUACAAAAAUGGAUGUUGGCACAAGCGGAAUAUCUUAUAGAACAAUAGCAAUUUGGUACUGCAUUUCCAAAAGGACUCGAUCACAUCAGCCCCCAGCCCCAUCACUGCAGGCUCUGAACACGACAUCGACUCUGUUUUCCUCCCAGCACGAGGCAGGAGCCUCACCCCGCUCCUGUCUGUCUGUGCUGGGGAGCUCAGGCAGAAACCCUGCUGCUGAGCAGGUGAGGGCAGCGUCUCUGGGCAGAAUUUGUCCCACCACCAAGGGAAACCUGCUUCCCCGGGGAGCACCUUCAGCACCCAAACCACGAUCCACCCUCAGAGCGGUUGCAGCCAAUUAGGAAGGUCCGGUCUCUUUCUUAAAAAACACACAUAGGUAAAGCUAAAUCAGGUGGCAAAAGACUGUGGGGAACCAUGUUUUUCUUGUUAUUUUACCUUCUUCUAUUGAUCUUUGAAAAUUAGACAGCUUUAAAUCCAAACUGGUGGCAUCCCUUGGGUGGGAUCUGACUCGCGGCGUUUUGGGCAACAGGGCUGACCUCUCGCCGUGGAAUUUCACCUAGUAAUUUCUGCGGCAGGAAGAAAUCCUCCGAGCGGGCUGUCUGGCUUCAGAAGUAAAUUUAAGUGCCUGUGGCUUGACAAAUAAACAUUCUGAAAGCGCCUAAUGACUCACAACCUCGCCUAAGAAUAGCUGAACUUUGCAAGACCGAAAUACAUAGCGGAGAAUACGGCCUCUGACACUGCCUGAGCGCGGAGCUGAAGGACGCGGUGGGAGAAGGGGAGACACAGCCAUCUUGGAGGCUUCUUCAGCCCUCGUGUGCCAUAGCCACCUCGGAGCUCUCCUCCACAAAUUCAACUAAUCCGUUUUUAAACAGUUAUCAUGUUUCAUUUAUACACACAGCAAAGUACUCCUCGUUUAUCCCGGUUGUUUGAAAGUGCUCUUAUUCUCUUGGAUUAAAGGGGGCUCACGGAGGUUUAUGCAUAUACUUGUUACACUUCUGAGCACCUAACAUUUCACAGAAGGGAGAUUCUUUGUCUUCAAGUUAUCGAGCAUGUAAAACCUCAGCAGCUGAAAAGGGGAACUGAUUUUGAUUCUGUUUGCUCAAAAGUGGGGGGUUUGGUAGUUCUUGCUUGCUUUUCUGGGGCACGCUUGCAGGAGUGCUGUGAACUGUCACCUCUUUACUUCUUCCCGCCCCCCCCACGCACCCUGCUUAGCACUUUAAUCUAACCCCAGGGAAAACAGAACAAAACACAAGUUCAGCUGAAUGUCUGUGACCACAAGAGCUUCCUGUAGGUGCCCGAAGUUUCUGCUGCAAAAGCCUCGUUGGUGUCAUUAGGGCUCAGGGAGCCUCACGGCUUUGGGGGUGAGCCCAAGGGCCGGGUAGUAGUUUAGCUGCACCAUCCCAGGAGUAGCAGGAGAGGUGCUGUGCCUCAAAAGCCACGACUGCACAUCAAGUAGGUUUGUUGUUCAGGAAUGAGAGAAGAAAAUAAUGUAGGAGUCAUCUCCCACCUUCACUAGCCAGAAAAAAAAAAUCUGGCUGACAUCACGGUCCCUCUCUUUUGGGCCCUGCCAAGGUAACCGGAGCAGCAGGGGCGGCAGUUGUCCUCAUGCCAUGAAGACACACUUUUCCCUUGAUUCUUUGAACUGUUGUUAAGAUCAUCAGGAAAUGCUUUCCUCUCGGUCAGCACCCGUGCCCCUCGCGUGGGAGUGAGGGCACACCGAGCACAGACCUGGUCUGUGCAGAGCCCCAAUCACUCCCAACCUGGGUCACGGGAGAUUUUUCUCUCUCCCUGUUUCACCAGGAGCCCGGGUGCUGCGAGGAGGGCUCUGCUCUCUCCUGGCUGCCAGGCACGGCCGGAGCCCAACCCUCACAUACCCUCCGACGCUGUGGGACCCCUGGGGACUGAGCCCAGGCGUGACCCCGCACCGAGCUGUGCCUCGGGGCACCCGCUCCAGACCCACACACUCCCACAGCCAGAGCCCCAUCUCCCCCGUCACCCACAGCCCCAUCCAAGGCUCUGGCAACCCCCCAGCUCCCCUCACCGCCCCCCACGUUUUUCAGCCUGGAGGUGAAAACCCAAGAGGUGCAAACUGCAGUGUCGGCGGGACUGUGGGAGCCUGAAAACUUCUGCUCGUGAUUUACAGCAUUUCCCACCCAGGUUUGAAAGGUGGUUGGGCUCCUCUCGAAGGAAGGGGGAAAUCACAGCGGGUCUGUCGUCCCCGGAGGAUGCUGCGUUCACAGAGCCACCGCUCUCCCACGCUCCGGAACAGCCGGGAGCAGGGCUGGGGGUUGCCUCUACGGCUCAAGGGAAGCAAGAUCAAAAGCUUCACCUGAAGUUAAAGGUGUUUCUGCAGGUCGCUAAACUACUGAUUUCUGCCCAUCGCCAGAGUCAAGAUUAAAAAUGCCAUUACAGCGACUUGCUGCAGGUACGAGGGGCCGAUGUGAACGGGACCGCGUUGAAGGGCCGAGCCGGAGCGCAGCGGGUGCAAAUACGGUACAAGCUGUGCGGCCGCUGGCCCGUCCCCGCAGAUUUCCCCUCUGCGCCGCUCUCGAACCGCAUCUGUGCAAACAGGAUGAGCUAGAAAAGUGUAAAUAAAGCAUUAAAGAGAA
Long non-coding RNA from Tyto alba (common barn owl), 6430 nucleotides. RefSeq lists it as uncharacterized. The record is from RefSeq and is a predicted model, not a curated record. The transcript has 6 exons. NCBI's taxonomy places the organism in Eukaryota, Metazoa, Chordata, Aves, Strigiformes, Tytonidae.